UUCAAUCCCAACUUUGAUGAGUCCUAGUACGCAAGGAAUGGUCUCAGCGAUGCUCGACUAUAUUGGCCCCAUCGACGUAAUAAACUUCUGGCUGCUGCAAAGAAGGAGAACAAAAGGUUUAGGGAUUAAUAAGGUAUAUGUGGGUGCAUAGCCCCCAGUACCCU
Molecule: ribosomal RNA, 164 nt
Filed under: Keratoisididae sp. I1
Lineage: Eukaryota; Metazoa; Cnidaria; Anthozoa; Scleralcyonacea; Keratoisididae
Description: partial 16S ribosomal RNA
Source: RNAcentral